CUACGGGUUGCUGCAGUGAGGAAUCUUGCGCAAUGGGGGAAACCCUGACGCAGCGACGCCGCGUGGGUGAUGAAGGCCUUCGGGUCGUAAAGCCCUGUCGAGAGGGAAGAAUUGCAUUUAGGUUAAUAGCCUAAUUGUUUGACGGCACCUCCAAAGGAAGCACCGGCUAACUCCGUGCCAGCAGCCGCGGUAAUACGGAGGGUGCAAGCGUUGUUCGGAAUCACUGGGCGUAAAGGGCGUGUAGGCGGCUGAGUAAGUCAGGUGUGAAAUCCCUCGGCUCAACCGAGGAAGUGCAUUUGAUACUGCUCAUCUUGAGUACUGGAGAGGGAGAUGGAAUUCCCGGUGUAGAGGUGAAAUUCGUAGAUAUCGGGAGGAACACCAGUGGCGAAGGCGAUCUCCUGGACAGAUACUGACGCUAAGGCGCGAAAGCGUGGGGAGCAAACAGGAUUAGAUACCCUAGUAGUC
RNAcentral lists this ribosomal RNA (465 nucleotides) under uncultured bacterium. Its description in RNAcentral is "partial 16S ribosomal RNA". It matches the Rfam family "Bacterial small subunit ribosomal RNA", at positions 339 to 795 of the family's 1533-position model. The record is from RNAcentral.